This 483-nucleotide ribosomal RNA is filed under the name uncultured bacterium. RNAcentral describes it as "partial 16S ribosomal RNA". It matches the Rfam family "Bacterial small subunit ribosomal RNA", at positions 30 to 507 of the family's 1533-position model. The record is from RNAcentral.
AUUGAACGCUGGCGGCAGGCCUAACACAUGCAAGUCGAGCGGAUGAAGGGAGCUUGCUCCUGGAUUCAGCGGCGGACGGGUGAGUAAUGCCUAGGAAUCUGCCUGGUAGUGGGGGAUAACGUCCGGAAACGGGCGCUAAUACCGCAUACGUCCUGAGGGAGAAAGUGGGGGAUCUUCGGACCUCACGCUAUCAGAUGAGCCUAGGUCGGAUUAGCUAGUUGGUGGGGUAAAGGCCUACCAAGGCGACGAUCCGUAACUGGUCUGAGAGGAUGAUCAGUCACACUGGAACUGAGACACGGUCCAGACUCCUACGGGAGGCAGCAGUGGGGAAUAUUGGACAAUGGGCGAAAGCCUGAUCCAGCCAUGCCGCGUGUGUGAAGAAGGUCUUCGGAUUGUAAAGCACUUUAAGUUGGGAGGAAGGGCAGUAAGUUAAUACCUUGCUGUUUUGACGUUACCAACAGAAUAAGCACCGGCGAACUCGUG